GGGUUGUGAGGUUAAGCGACUAAGCGUACACGGUGGAUGCCCUGGCAGUCAGAGGCGAUGAAGGGCGUGCUAAUCUGCGAUAAGCGCCGGUAAGGUGAUAUGAACCGUUAUAACCGGCGAUACCCGAAUGGGGAAACCCAGUGUGACUCGUCACACUAUCAUUAACUGAAUCCAUAGGUUAAUGAGGCGAACCGGGGGAACUGAAACAUCUAAGUACCCCGAGGAAAAGAAAUCAACCGAGAUUCCCCCAGUAGCGGCGAGCGAACGGGGAGGAGCCCAGAGCCUGAAUCAGCAUGUGUGUUAGUGGAAGCGUCUGGAAAGGCGCGCGAUACAGGGUGACAGCCCCGUACACAAAAGCGCAUGUGCUGUGAGCUCGAUGAGUAGGGCGGGACACGUGGUAUCCUGUCUGAAUAUGGGGGGACCAUCCUCCAAGGCUAAAUACUCCUGACUGACCGAUAGUGAACCAGUACCGUGAGGGAAAGGCGAAAAGAACCCCGGCGAGGGGAGUGAAAAAGAACCUGAAACCGUGUACGUACAAGCAGUGGGAGCACCCUUUGGGGUGUGACUGCGUACCUUUUGUAUAAUGGGUCAGCGACUUAUAUUCUGUAGCAAGGUUAACCGAAUAGGGGAGCCGGAGGGAAACCGAGUCUUAAUUGGGCGUUAAGUUGCAGGGUAUAGACCCGAAACCCGGUGAUCUAGCCAUGGGCAGGUUGAAGGUUGGGUAACACUAACUGGAGGACCGAACCGACUAAUGUUGAAAAAUUAGCGGAUGACCUGUGGCUGGGGGUGAAAGGCCAAUCAAACCGGGAGAUAGCUGGUUCUCCCCGAAAGCUAUUUAGGUAGCGCCUCGUGAAUUCAUCUCCGGGGGUAGAGCACUGUUUCGGCUAGGGGGCCAUCCCGGCUUACCAACCCGAUGCAAACUGCGAAUACCGGAGAAUGUUAUCACGGGAGACACACGGCGGGUGCUAACGUCCGUCGUGAAGAGGGAAACAACCCAGACCGCCAGCUAAGGUCCCAAAGUCAUGGUUAAGUGGGAAACGAUGUGGGAAGGCCCAGACAGCCAGGAUGUUGGCUUAGAAGCAGCCAUCAUUUAAAGAAAGCGUAAUAGCUCACUGGUCGAGUCGGCCUGCGCGGAAGAUGUAACGGGGCUAAACCAUGCACCGAAGCUGCGGCAGCGACACUCAGGUGUUGUUGGGUAGGGGAGCGUUCUGUAAGCCUGCGAAGGUGGCCUGUGAGGGUUGCUGGAGGUAUCAGAAGUGCGAAUGCUGACAUAAGUAACGAUAAAGCGGGUGAAAAGCCCGCUCGCCGGAAGACCAAGGGUUCCUGUCCAACGUUAAUCGGGGCAGGGUGAGUCGACCCCUAAGGCGAGGCCGAAAGGCGUAGUCGAUGGGAAACGGGUUAAUAUUCCCGUACUUGGUGUUACUGCGAAGGGGGGACGGAGAAGGCUAUGUUGGCCGGGCGACGGUU
Molecule: ribosomal RNA, 1467 nt
Filed under: Salmonella enterica
Lineage: Bacteria; Pseudomonadati; Pseudomonadota; Gammaproteobacteria; Enterobacterales; Enterobacteriaceae
Also listed under: 1 other name
Description: partial 23S ribosomal RNA
Rfam family: Bacterial large subunit ribosomal RNA
Source: RNAcentral